CUCUACCGAUGCCUCCUUCGCCGCAAGGCUUCAUCCAAGAUCACCAGCUCACCUCGACGGGGCCACGAAGAGCAGGAGGGCACAUCGGGGCCUAAACGAUCUCGCCACCUCCAUGAUGCCUGUGAGGUCAAAGGCCAUGAGGUAUUAGGCCUAUAGAUUGGAUGUUAUUGCAAAAUUACUCAAUUUAACAUAUUAAAUUUGUAUCAAAUUUAAAUAACCAAAAGUGAAAUAUAUUUGUUCCAUGAUAAACUACAAGUUCCAAGGAAUCUGGGGAUAUGAAAUUUGUCAAAUUCGGACUUACGGUCUAGGAGAUAUGGAUUUUCAAAGUUUGGGUAUGUUUCUGGAAAUCAAUUACGAGAUUUUACAGAGAUACUCCACGUGGCAGGAUGUGGUUGGUGCAUACCCCUUCAUAUAAGAACACGUUUGAGGAUGAAUGGCUGGGUGCUCACCGAAGUUGACUGCCGGCGACGAAGUAGACGGCUGCUCCGGCGAAUUAGGAGUGGUGGACGGUGGAGAGGAGGUCUCUUUGAAGACUAUGGAGUAGGAUAUAUAUGGAGACGAACUCGUUCUGCACGUGCACCACGGGCUUGCUGGAAUCCUACCGGCGCGGCGGUGGAACUUGAUCUCGUCGGGCAAGUGCUCCCGCUGUGAAAUUGAGAGGUUUGAAGGGUCAGAGAGGUGAACAUGUGACAUAGAAUAAUAAUUUUGCAGGAAUUAGGGCAUGAGUCCCACGUACGGCGAUGCUACCUUCGUCAAUUCAUGGCUACAUUGAGGAACUCAGCGAGAGAUUCCUCUGUGUACAACGGAAUAGGGAGAGGGGUUUUAU
RNAcentral lists this long non-coding RNA (826 nucleotides) under Hordeum vulgare. RNAcentral's name for it is "long non-coding RNA (HVUL_LNC002093)". Lineage: Eukaryota; Viridiplantae; Streptophyta; Magnoliopsida; Poales; Poaceae. The record is from RNAcentral.